Molecule: non-coding RNA, 550 nt
Organism: Balearica regulorum gibbericeps (East African grey crowned-crane)
Lineage: Eukaryota; Metazoa; Chordata; Aves; Gruiformes; Gruidae
Source: the annotation of a RefSeq genome assembly
GUCAGCAGUAAUACUGUAUUUUGAAAAAGGAACAUGGCUCACUGUUCUAGGGAAGGACGAUGAAAUGAUACCUCCAGCUGUGGCCAUCUUUUCCCCAUCAAAGCAAGAGAUCCAACAGAAGAGCAAGGCCACACUGGUAUGCCUGGCCUCUGGUUUCUAUCCUGACCACCUGAAUCUGGUUUGGAAGGUGAAUGGUGCUAAAAGGACAGAAGGGGUGGGAACAGAUGAGUUUUCUACACGGAAUGAGAGUACCUACUCAUUGACCAGCCGACUGAGGAUCUCAGCCCAGGAAUGGUUCAACCCUUUGAACCGUUUUGAGUGUGUUGCCGAAUUUUUUCAGAAUGAAACACUGGAAUCAAUACAGAAAUUCAUCUACGGCGAUGCUGAUUGUAGUAUCUUCAAAGAAAACUGUUAGAGAAGUGCUACAGCUGGGAAGUUUGUGUACAUCAUACUUACUUUCAAGAGCAUUUUGUAUAGGAUGUUUGUGAUGGGGCUGAGUUUUAGGUCCAAGGAGAGGAACAGAGUUCUGGUCUAUGCACAUUUGUCCUAA